AUACAGAGGGUGCGAGCGUUAAUCGGAAUUACUGGGCGUAAAGCGCGCGUAGGCGGCUCAUUAAGUCAGAUGUGAAAUCCCCGGGCUCAACCUGGGAACUGCAUCUGAUACUGGUAAGCUAGAGUUUUGGAGAGGGAAGUAGAAUUUCAGGUGUAGCGGUGAAAUGCAUAGAGAUCUGAAGGAAUACCAGUGGCGAAGGCGACUUCCUGGCCAAAAACUGACGCUGAGGUGCGAAAGCGUGGGUAGCAAACGGGAUUAGAAACCCCAGUAGUCC
RNAcentral lists this ribosomal RNA (274 nucleotides) under uncultured bacterium. RNAcentral describes it as "partial 16S ribosomal RNA". It matches the Rfam family "Bacterial small subunit ribosomal RNA", at positions 523 to 796 of the family's 1533-position model. The record is from RNAcentral.